This 216-nucleotide ribosomal RNA is filed under the name uncultured bacterium. Its description in RNAcentral is "partial 16S ribosomal RNA". It matches the Rfam family "Bacterial small subunit ribosomal RNA", at positions 118 to 334 of the family's 1533-position model. The record is from RNAcentral.
UCGGAACGUGCCCAGUCGUGGGGGAUAACGCAGCGAAAGCUGUGCUAAUACCGCAUACGAUCUAAGGAUGAAAGCGGGGGACGUCGUAAGGGCCUCGCGCGAUUGGAGCGGCCGAUGGCAGAUUAGGUAGUUGGUGGGGUAAAGGCUCACCAAGCCGACGAUCUGUAGCUGGUCUGAGAGGACGACCAGCCACACUGGGACUGAGACACGGCCCAG